AUUGGCUGUUGGGAAGGACCAGGUGUUGACCAUUGAUGAGCAAGAGGAAGGAUUCCAAGAUGGCGGCUGCCCCAGAGUCUUCAUUCAAAGGAGCUCCCAAAUGAGGCUGCUGCUUGUGUGUUUGUCUCCAGGACAAGCUGCAGCUACUCCUUUCCUCUCAAGAUCAGCAGCUUGUGCUUCAUUCAGCCUGGCAUUUUGCGUGAUAUUCCCUGCAUAUAAGUUAAUAAACAGGGUGACAAUAUAUGCUCCUGAUGGACUCCUUUCCCAAUUUGGAACCAGGAAAGUCAAGGUCCUUGUUGUGAAUGUGUUGCCUGCCAUUUGGGUGAAUGAGUGCUGCCCACCAUCAGGCCAUCAGCCACUGCAGUCAAUAAUCUGGAAUUUCUUUUAUGUAUCCUGACUCCUCCUCUGCCUCUUUGGAACAAUUCACCUGAGAGGCUGCCUUCCAGGCUAUAGAACUCAGUACAGUCAUGUAAUAAAACAUAACUUUCUAC
Molecule: long non-coding RNA, 491 nt
Organism: Bos taurus (domestic cattle)
Lineage: Eukaryota; Metazoa; Chordata; Mammalia; Artiodactyla; Bovidae
Source: Ensembl